This 20-nucleotide non-coding RNA is filed under the name Arabidopsis thaliana (thale cress). The record is from RNAcentral. Lineage: Eukaryota; Viridiplantae; Streptophyta; Magnoliopsida; Brassicales; Brassicaceae.
UUAGUGAUUUCAAUCCUCAA